Molecule: ribosomal RNA, 708 nt
Filed under: uncultured bacterium
Lineage: Bacteria
Description: bacterial SSU rRNA
Rfam family: Bacterial small subunit ribosomal RNA
Source: RNAcentral
UGCCUCAAAGAGGGGGUCAACAGUUGGAAACGACUGCUAAUACCGCAUAAGCCCACGGCUCGGCAUCGAGCAGAGGGAAAAGGAGCAAUCCGCUUUGAGAUGGCCUCGCGUCCGAUUAGCUAGUUGGUGAGGUAACGGCCCACCAAGGCGACGAUCGGUAGCCGGACUGAGAGGUUGAACGGCCACAUUGGGACUGAGACACGGCCCAGACUCCUACGGGAGGCAGCAGUGGGGAAUAUUGCACAAUGGGGGAAACCCUGAUGCAGCGACGCCGCGUGGAGGAAGAAGGUCUUCGGAUUGUAAACUCCAGUUGUUGGGGAAGAUAAUGACGGUACCCAACAAGGAAGUGACGGCUAACUACGUGCCAGCAGCCGCGGUAAAACGUAGGUCACAAGCGUUGUCCGGAAUUACUGGGUGUAAAGGGAGCGCAGGCGGGAAGACAAGUUGGAAGUGAAAUCUAUGGGCUCAACCCAUAAACUGCUUUCAAAACUGUUUUUCUUGAGUAGUGCAGAGGUAGGCGGAAUUCCCGGUGUAGCGGUGGAAUGCGUAGAUAUCGGGAGGAACACCAGUGGCGAAGGCGGCCUACUGGGCACCAACUGACGCUGAGGCUCGAAAGUGUGGGUAGCAAACAGGAUUAGAUACCCUGGUAGUCCACACCGUAAACGAUGAUUACUAGGUGUUGGAGGAUUGACCCCUUCAGUGCCGCAG